Molecule: ribosomal RNA, 443 nt
Filed under: uncultured bacterium
Lineage: Bacteria
Description: partial 16S ribosomal RNA
Rfam family: Bacterial small subunit ribosomal RNA
Source: RNAcentral
CCUACGGGAGGUAGCAGUGGGGGAUAUUGGUCAAUGGGGGAAACCCUGAACCAGCAACGCCGCGUGAGGGAAGACGGCCUUCGGGUUGUAAACCUAAGUGAUCAGGGAUGAAACAAAUGACAGUACCUGAAAAGCAAGCUCCGGCUAACUACGUGCCAGCAGCCGCGGUAAUACGUAGGGAGCAAGCGUUGUCCGGAUUUACUGGGGGGAAAGGGAGCGUAGACGGCACUGCAAGUCCGGAGUGAAAGCCCAUGGCUUAACCAUGGUACUGCUCUGGAAACUGUGGAGCUUGAGUGCGGGAGGGGCAGGCGGAAUUCCUAGUGUAGCGGUGAAAUGCGUAGAUAUUAGGAGGAACACCGGCGGCGAAGGCGGCCUGCUGGACCGUAACUGACGUUGAGGCUCGAAAGCGUGGGGAGCAAACAGGAUUAGAUACCCGAGUAGUC